This 217-nucleotide ribosomal RNA is filed under the name Cordyceps militaris. Its description in RNAcentral is "partial 18S ribosomal RNA". It matches the Rfam family "Eukaryotic small subunit ribosomal RNA", at positions 1617 to 1831 of the family's 1831-position model. The record is from RNAcentral. Lineage: Eukaryota; Fungi; Ascomycota; Sordariomycetes; Hypocreales; Cordycipitaceae.
GUAAGCGCAAGUCAUCAGCUUGCGUUGAUUACGUCCCUGCCCUUUGUACACACCGCCCGUCGCUACUACCGAUCGAAUGGCUCAGUGAGGCGUCCGGACUGGCCCAGGGAGGUGGGCAACUACCCCCCCGGGCCGGGAAGCUCUCCAAACUCGGUCAUUUAGAGGAAGUAAAAGUCGUAACAAGGUCUCCGUUGGUGAACCAGCGGAGGGAUUAUUA